RNAcentral lists this ribosomal RNA (681 nucleotides) under uncultured archaeon. Its description in RNAcentral is "bacterial SSU rRNA". It matches the Rfam family "Archaeal small subunit ribosomal RNA", at positions 187 to 867 of the family's 1478-position model. The record is from RNAcentral.
CUAAACGGCCCGCCGCUCCAGGAUGAGGCUGCGGCCAAUUAGGUUGACGGGGGGGUAACGCCCCACCGGGCCAAUAAUCGGUACGGGUGGUAAAACAACAACCCCGAAAACGGAUUCUAAAACAAAAUUCCGGCCCCUACGGGGGGCAGCAGGGACAAAACUUUUCCACUGCACGCACGUGCAAUAAGGGAACUCCAAGGGGGAGGGAUUAUCUCCCUCUUUUUUGUCAACCGUAAGGUGGCCAACAAAUAAGGGUUGGGAAAAACCGGGGCCAGCCGCCGCGUUAUUACCGGCACCCCAAGUGAUGGCCAAUUUUAUUGGGCCUAAAGCGUCCGUAGCCGGCCUGGCAGGUCCGUCGGAAAAUCCAGCCCUUCAACGGUUGGACAACCGGAGAACCCCGCCAGGUUGGGAACCGAAAAAUUCGAGGGGUACGUCCGGGGAAGAAUUAAAAUCCCGUAUUCCUGGACGGACCGCCAAUGGAAAAACCUCUUCAGAAGGACGCCUCCAACGAGGAGGAACAAAAGCUGGGUCCUCAAACAGAAUAAAAUCCCCGGUUAGCCCCAGCCGUAAACGAUGUUCGUUAGUGCCGCCACCGGUAACAAGCCGGGGUGGUGCCGAAGGGAAGCCGUUAAACAAACCGCCUGGAAAGUACGUCCGCAAGAAUAAAACUAAAAUGAAUUG